UGGGGAAUUUUGCGCAAUGGGCGAAAGCCUGACGCAGCGACGCCGCGUGGAGGAUGAAGGCCCUUGGGUUGUAAACUCCUGUCAGGUGGGAAGAAAGACUUUCGGUAAAUAGCCGGGAGUUCUGACUGUACCACCGGAGGAAGCCCCGGCUAACUCCGUGCCAGCAGCCGCGGUAAUACGGAGGGGGCGAGCGUUGUUCGGAAUCAUUGGGCGUAAAGGGCGCGUAGGCGGCCGUCCAAGUCGGGUGUGAAAUCCCUCGGCUCAACCGAGGAACUGCACUCGAUACUGGUCGGCUAGAGUCCGGGAGGGGAUGGUGGAAUUCCCAGUGUAGCGGUGAAAUGCGUAGAUAUUGGGAAGAACACCGGUGGCGAAGGCGGCCAUCUGGACCGGAACUGACGCUGAGGCGCGAAAGCCAGGGGAGCGAAUGG
Molecule: ribosomal RNA, 428 nt
Filed under: uncultured bacterium
Lineage: Bacteria
Description: bacterial SSU rRNA
Rfam family: Bacterial small subunit ribosomal RNA
Source: RNAcentral